Non-coding RNA from Gracilinanus agilis (Agile Gracile Mouse Opossum), 799 nucleotides. Lineage: Eukaryota; Metazoa; Chordata; Mammalia; Didelphimorphia; Didelphidae. The record is from the annotation of a RefSeq genome assembly.
GGGAGAUGAUGGGGUCUCAGGCUCAGCUCUUCUGCCUCCUGCUUCUCUGGAUCCCAGAUGCCAGAGGGGCCAUUGAGCUGACCCAGUCUCCAUCCUCCCUGUCUGUGUCUCCAGGAGAGACGGUCACCCUGUCCUGCAGGGCCAGUCAGAGCAUUAGUACUAACAUAAACUGGUACCAACAGCCCCCAGGCCAGGCUCCCAGGCUCCUCAUUUACUAUGCUUCCAGCCUGCACUCUGGGGUUCCUGCCCGCUUCAGUGGCAGUGGCUCUGGGACAGAUUUCUCUCUGACCAUCCGCGGGGUGGAACCCGAGGACAUGGCACACUAUUACUGUCAGCAGAGGAAUAGUUGGCCUCCACUGUACUACUUUAGCGGAACUAAAAUGGACCCAGUGCCCUACAUUUUAAUAGAGGCACCACCAUUUUAGUUCAGUGAUGUAGGCCAGCCCUGAUUAAUAAAUGUUCAUUAAAUAUAAAAAGGCUGUAUUAAGAUGGCAAAACUAUCCAAAUAUACUUGUCAUUUAAAAAUAAUUAUUCAGUGAUUGGCUUCUCAGAAUGAGAGAAAUCUUGGGGUUGGACUGGGUGUGGAAGUAGGAAGGGGGUGGAGUCACUUAGGGAGGAGGAAGGAACCUUGAAUUAAAAAAACCCACUACACUUAACCAAUCAGCAACUGUUUAAUAUGAUUUGGUAUUGGCCAGGCUGGUUGUUCUUAGUAAUAAUUUAAUUCUCUGGAAGGAUGCUGCACUAUGUAUAAAAAUCUUCAUUAAAUUGUUCCCAUUCCACAAUCUGAAUGCAAAGCCUU